This 440-nucleotide ribosomal RNA is filed under the name uncultured bacterium. RNAcentral's name for it is "partial 16S ribosomal RNA". It matches the Rfam family "Bacterial small subunit ribosomal RNA", at positions 338 to 795 of the family's 1533-position model. The record is from RNAcentral.
CCUACGGGCGGCAGCAGUGGGGAAUAUUGCACAAUGGGGGAAACCCUGAUGCAGCGACGCCGCGUGAGUGAAGAAGUAUUUCGGUAUGUAAAGCUCUAUCAGCAGGGAAGAAAAUGACGGUACCUGACUAAGAAGCCCCGGCUAACUACGUGCCAGCAGCCGCGGUAAUACGUAGGGGGCAAGCGUUAUCCGGAAUUACUGGGUGUAAAGGGAGCGUAGACGGCAGCACAAGUCUGGAGUGAAAUGCCGGGGCUUAACCCCGGAACUGCUUUGGAAACUGUGCAGCUAGAGUGCAGGAGAGGUAAGUGGAAUUCCUGGUGUAGCGGUGAAAUGCGUAGAGAUUAGGAGGAACACCAGUGGCGAAGGCGGCUUACUGGACUGUAACUGACGUUGAGGCUCGAAAGCGUGGGGAGCAAACAGGAUUAGAUACCCUUGUAGUC